This 68-nucleotide transfer RNA is filed under the name Marmota monax (woodchuck). Its description in RNAcentral is "tRNA.Gly". The record is from RNAcentral. Lineage: Eukaryota; Metazoa; Chordata; Mammalia; Rodentia; Sciuridae.
GGUUUGUGGCUCAGCGGUAGAGCACUCGCCUACCAAGUACAAGGCCCUGGGUUUGAUCCUCAGCACCA